Molecule: ribosomal RNA, 253 nt
Filed under: uncultured bacterium
Lineage: Bacteria
Description: partial 16S ribosomal RNA
Rfam family: Bacterial small subunit ribosomal RNA
Source: RNAcentral
UACGAAGGGGGCUAGCGUUGUUCGGAAUUACUGGGCGUAAAGCGCACGUAGGCGGAUUUGUUAGUCAGGGGUGAAAUCCCGGGGCUCAACCUCGGAACUGCCUUUGAUACUGCAAGUCUCGAGUCCGGAAGAGGUGAGUGGAAUUCCUAGUGUAGAGGUGAAAUUCGUAGAUAUUAGGAAGAACACCAGUGGCGAAGGCGGCUCACUGGUCCGGUACUGACGCUGAGGUGCGAAAACGUGGGGAGCAAACAGG